CAUGCCGUAAACGAUGAGUGCUAAGUGUUAGGGGGUUUCCGCCCCUUAGUGCUGCAGCUAACGCAUUAAGCACUCCGCCUGGGGAGUACGACCGCAAGGUUGAAACUCAAAGGAAUUGACGGGGGCCCGCACAAGCGGUGGAGCAUGUGGUUUAAUUCGAAGCAACGCGAAGAACCUUACCAGGUCUUGACAUCCCGAUGACCGCUCUAGAGAUAGAGCCAUAACAAGUUCACACAGGUGG
This 241-nucleotide ribosomal RNA is filed under the name uncultured bacterium. Its description in RNAcentral is "partial 16S ribosomal RNA". It matches the Rfam family "Bacterial small subunit ribosomal RNA", at positions 796 to 1041 of the family's 1533-position model. The record is from RNAcentral.